RNAcentral lists this non-coding RNA (104 nucleotides) under Actinotalea fermentans. Its description in RNAcentral is "TPP sequence". It matches the Rfam family "TPP riboswitch aptamer (THI element)". Rfam says of the family: Vitamin B(1) in its active form thiamin pyrophosphate (TPP) is an essential coenzyme that is synthesised by coupling of pyrimidine and thiazole moieties in bacteria. The previously detected thiamin-regulatory element, thi box was extended, resulting in a new, highly conserved RNA secondary structure, the THI element, which is widely distributed in eubacteria and also occurs in some archaea. The record is from Rfam by way of RNAcentral. Lineage: Bacteria; Bacillati; Actinomycetota; Actinomycetes; Micrococcales; Cellulomonadaceae.
CACGAACGACAGGGGAGCGUCUUGGACGCUGAGAGUGCGGACAACCGCAGACCCUCGAACCUGAUCCGGGUGAUACCGGCGUAGGGAGUCGGGAAUCUCAGGCC